Piliocolobus tephrosceles (Ugandan red Colobus) is the source of this 3688-nucleotide long non-coding RNA. The record is from Ensembl. Lineage: Eukaryota; Metazoa; Chordata; Mammalia; Primates; Cercopithecidae.
UGGUAUAGAAGUAAAAAAACUAACUGAUGAGAAAGAAAACAUAUGCGAAGAGAUAAAUAAACUAACUAACGAUAAGGAAAGUAUAUAUAAAGAAAUAAAUAAACUAACAGACGAAUGGAAAAGCAUGUGCGAAGAAAUAAAAAAGUUAAAUCAUGAGAGAGAAAAAUUUGGUAUGGAAGUAAAAAAACUAACUGACGAAAAGAAAAACAUUUACGAAGAGAUAAAUGCUGUACACAAUGACAAAGACUUAGUACAUAAUAAUAUAGAAACGUUAAAUAAUGAUAUAAAUAAAUUAGAAGAGAAAAAAAAUGAAUUAAAUAAAGAAAUUACUACUCUUAGCAAUAUAAUUAAUAAUUUAAAAACUGAGAACAUCAAAUAUAAUAAUGUUGUAACAAAAUUAAAAAAUCAAGAAAAAACAAAAAGUGAUGAAAUAGGAGAAAAAAAACAAUUACUACUAGAACAAAAUGGAAAGUAUCAGAACAAUGUAGAUAUAUUAAAUGAGAAUUUGAAAGAGGUAAUGGAAAUUUGUUAUAAUAGUAAUACAGGUGAACACUAUAACACAGGUGCUUCUAUAACAAACGUAGAUGACCGUUAUUACAAAACAGAAUUGAACAAUUUAAAGUUUGCAUUAGACAUAAAAGAAAAAGAGUAUAAACAAAUGAAAGAGGAUUAUGAAAGUAAACUAGAAGAAUUAAAAAAAGAUAUAGAAAAAAAGGAAAACAAUUAUGAUAAAGAGUUAAGUGACGUUUAUAUAAAAAUACAUGAAAAUGAAAAAAUGUUUAAACAUGAAAAAGAAAAAUUAGAAUUAGAAAAAUUACAAAACGAAGAAACGUUGAUUAAGCGUGUUAAUGAAAAAAAAGAUUUAUUAAAAUGUAUUUUUAAUAAAUUAAAUAUUUUAUAUGAUGAUGAUAUGAAAAGUGAGGAAUUUAUAGAAUUAGUGAAUAAAUACGUUAGUACAAAUGGCGGUUAUAAUUACAGUAAUAGCAAGAGUAACAACAUUAAUAAUGAUAAUUUAAGCCAUGAUGAAAAUGAUGUGAACGCAUCAAGCAUACAAGAUACAUACUGUGACGACAAAAAACAGUAUAGCAUAAAAAAUGAAGAAAUAAAAAAAAAAAAUAAGUCAAAUAAAGAAGUGUUAAUAACAGAAAAAGAAGUAGAAGAAAGAAAGAAAAAAAAAACACUGUUGCAAAAAGAACUACUUUUAAAAAAACAACAAUUUAACGAAUCUAAUAAAAAAAUACAAGAGUUAGAAAAUAAAAUUAAUACUACGAACGCUUAUAUUACUUUUUAUGAAAAAAGUUAUUCAAGUAGUAAAGUAAAUUUAUACAUACAAAAACUUGAUAAAAUUAGUUUAUCAGUAAGCGAUACGGAGAGUAUUACAUAUGUAGAAGAAGAGUUGAAAGAAGAUAAGAUAGAUAGUAAAAUGGUAAAAAAACAAAUUGAAGAUAAUUAUGACAUUAGUGAUGCCACUGCGGCGGAUGUUGGGACUGUUAAUGUGACUACUGGUAAUGUGAAAACUGGUAAUGUGACUAUUGGUAAUGUGACUACUGGUAAUGUGACUACUGGUAAUGUGACUACUGGUAAUGAAAGCAUUACUACUGCAACUUCUGCUAAUGCAGUUACUACUACCGUUGAUAGUAUGUAUAAUAAUAACAGUAAACAUCCCCAGGAAUUUGCACAUCAAAAAGAGCGUAUAUCCGAGACAUAUAACGAGGUCCUAUCAGACUCAGAUAAAGAUAGCAUAUUACUUUCUGAUAAAGAGCGAAUGGAUGAAUUUGCUGAAGAACAUAUAACAAACGAUUUAUGUGUUGAAAAAAAAAAAAACUUUAAAACAUUUUUUGCGUUACAAUUACGUAAAAUAAAAGGGAAAAAGAAACUCGGAAAUAAUAGCAAAAGCAAAAUCUCAAAUAACAACAGUGUUAUUAAUAUCGAUAAUACGAGUAACAAUAAUACAACCAGUAAUAAUACAACCAGCAAUAAUACAAUUAGCAAUAAUACAACUAGCAAUAAUACAACUAGCAAUAAAACGAAUAUUUGUGACAAAUCCUUAUCAAACGAUACUUAUAAAAAUUCAAAGAGUAGUUCAAUAGAAACACACGAAAUUGCUAAGUAUAAAAAAGCAUUAGUCAAAAAAAACAUUUUGGUUGAUGAAUUAAAAAAUCGAAUACAUACACUGACGAGCGAAAUAAUUGAUUUGAAAAAUACUAAAAAUGAGAUGAAAGAAACAAAUAAUAAUUUAAAACGAAAGCAAGCACAAACCAAAUAUAUAAAAAAAAAGUUAGUACAGACAGUAGCAAAAGAAAAAGAAAAAAUCAAAGAAAAAAUAAGCCACUCAAAAAGUGAAUUAGUAAAAUUAAAUGAUGAUAUUGUAGUGUUAAAAAAAAAAAGAAAUAUAUUAAAAGAAGACUUAGAAAACAUAACAGAGCAAUUAAUAAAAUUAGAAAAAGAAGAAGAGUUAAGUAUUAAAUUCAGACAAUAUAUAGAAAAUAUAAAAAAAGAAUUAUUAACAAACGAAAACAAAUAUAUGUUAAAAAUAAAUGAAGAUAAUAGUAUUAUACAAAACUUGAAAAAUGUAAUUAUUGAAAAUGAAAGUAAUAUACAAAUUUUAACAAAUGAAAAAAAACAAUAUAUAAACGAAUUAAAUAUCAUAAAAAAUGAGUAUGAUAUUUUAAAAUUAGAAGCCAGCGAAUUAACAAAUAAAUAUAACAUGAUUUAUUUAAAUAAUGAGAAAUGUUCUAACAGCGUUGAUAGUGUAAAUGAAAAAUCCAGUACAGAAACAGCGAAUUUUAACAAAAGUAAUAACAAACAAAACGUUAAUAAAUAUAUAAUGGAAAUAAAUGAUUUAAAAAAUGAAAUAAAUAAAUUGAGUUUGUUAUAUAGCAAUGAAAUAAAUGAUAAAAAUAAAUAUGACAUAAAGGUCAACGAAUUAACAAAUAAACUAAAAGAAUUUGAAAAUAUUGAUCGAAAUAAUAAAGAAAAGAUAACCGAGCUUACUAAAGCGAAUGAAAAACUAAAAAUAAAAGACAAGUUUGGAAAAAAAAAAGAAUACAACAUGUUGGCAAAGAGUAAAACGGUAGUGAAUGACUUAAUAAAUGGCUCAUCAGUAAAUGAUCCAACAAUAAAUGAUUCAACGAUGUAUGAUUCAACGAUGAAUGAUUCAACCUUAAAUGAUUCAACUAUGAAUGACACAACGAUAAAUAAUUUAUCGUUAAAUGAAAUGUCGUUUGGAAUUGCAACGGGAUCACCAGUGCCACAUGAAAACAACAGUGUCUAUGCAACCGAGUUAAUGUAUAAUAAUAUAAAUAAGACUAGAAAUGAAGUAUCAAUAUCAAAUGUAGAAAACAAAAAUUUAACUAAUAACACUUUUAACGAUUUAAAAAAAAAUAAUUUUCAAUUAAUGAAAAUUGUACAUGAAAAUAAAAAAAAUAAUAAAAUAAUAGGGACUUAUUUAUAUUCUGAAAAGAUAGAGAGUAUAUAUAAUUUAAAAAAUGAUAAUUAUGCAUGUAUACAAGAUAAUAAUAACAACUGUUGUUUAGUUCUUUGUAUACAAUUAUGUGAAUUAUUAAAUGUUUUGUUUUUAAAUAAUAAUUAUGUAAAAAAAUUUGAAAAAAUCAAUAAAAGUGUAUGGAAGCAUAUGUUCAUACCUGAAGAAAUUAAGUUUUUUUUUCUCAAGUAUUUUCACUUUUUG